AACCUAUCAAGCCCUGCUUGGUGUUGGGUGCCGGCCUACCAAGGCCCGCCCGUAACCCGUUGGCGGUUGUCACCGGCUGAAAGCGUAGCAAAAUAUGCUGGAGCCCGGAGGCUGCCUGCCAGGUAACCACACAUAUCAAAA
Molecule: unclassified non-coding RNA, 141 nt
Filed under: uncultured Ascomycota
Lineage: Eukaryota; Fungi; Ascomycota
Description: sequence contains ITS2
Source: RNAcentral